GAUGAAGAACGUAGCGAAAUGCGAUAAGUAAUGUGAAUUGCAGAAUUCAGUGAAUCAUCGAAUCUUUGAACGCACCUUGCGCUCCUUGGUAUUCCGAGUAGCAUGCCUGUUUGAGUGUCAUUAAUAUAUCAACCUCUUCAGCUUAUGCUUGUUGAGUGUUGGAUGGUGGGGGUUUGCUGGUGUUUUAUGAAGUCAGCUCCUCUGAAAUGCAUUAGCGGAACAAUUUGUUGACCGUUCAUUGGUGUGAUAAAAAUAUCUACGCUAUUGACGUCAGUCAGUUCAGCUUCUAACAGUCCAUUGACUUGGACAAAUUUUUCAUUAAUGUGACCUCAAAUCAGGUAGGACUACCCGCUGAACUUAAGCAUAUCAAUAAGCGGAGGA
RNAcentral lists this unclassified non-coding RNA (381 nucleotides) under soil metagenome. RNAcentral describes it as "partial contains 5.8S ribosomal RNA, internal transcribed spacer 2, and large subunit ribosomal RNA". The stretch from base 1 to 120 matches the Rfam family "5.8S ribosomal RNA", at positions 35 to 154 of the family's 154-position model. The record is from RNAcentral.